This 364-nucleotide long non-coding RNA is filed under the name Fukomys damarensis (Damara mole-rat). RNAcentral's name for it is "lncRNA (ENSFDAG00000026555.1)". The record is from RNAcentral. Lineage: Eukaryota; Metazoa; Chordata; Mammalia; Rodentia; Bathyergidae.
CUAAGACACCUGGCCAGGCUCCCUACCCUUGUGGCUCCGUGUCCGGGUCCCGGAAGUGGGACUAGAGAGCUGCUGUGGUGAGUGAGGGACCAGCGCAGCACAUCAGAGCUGGGUCGCUUCCUUUGGGGAGCCGUGGCAUGAAGGGGUGCAUUUCUGCUUCCGGCCUCAGUUAGAUGCGGCCUCGCUGAGGACACAGGUCUCCUGGCUCCUGCUCAAAGACCCAAGUCAGAAGAGGCCCUGAAGACACUGAGGAUUAUUGUCUCUCAGUCCUGAUGGCCCAGGCUGGAGAGCGUCACCAUGCUUCAUGACCAAUUCCUGGAAGUCUGCAAGUGGGUGAGUGAGCUCUCUGUUCUUCACAUUUAUG